Molecule: small nuclear RNA, 103 nt
Organism: Nannospalax galili (Upper Galilee mountains blind mole rat)
Lineage: Eukaryota; Metazoa; Chordata; Mammalia; Rodentia; Spalacidae
Source: Ensembl
GUGCUUGCUUUGUCAGCAUAUAUACUAAAAUUAGAACAAUACAGAGAUCAGCAUGGCACUACGAAAGGGCCAUUUGCAAAUCCAUGAUAUGUCCCAUAUUUUU